Myotis daubentonii (Daubenton's bat) is the source of this 1569-nucleotide long non-coding RNA. RefSeq lists it as uncharacterized. The record is from RefSeq and is a predicted model, not a curated record. Lineage: Eukaryota; Metazoa; Chordata; Mammalia; Chiroptera; Vespertilionidae.
CUCAUGCCGGCUGGCGUGGCUCCGUGUUUGAGCUCGACCGGGUUGCAGGCUGGACCCCCAGUGUGGAGCGUGCAGGAGGCAGCCGAUCAAUGAUUCCCUCUCAUCAUCCAUGCUUCUAUCUCUCUCCCCCUCUCCCUUCCUCUCUGAAAGCAAUAUAUAUGUUUUAAAGUGUUCCUCAGUGCCACCAUGAUCCCAACAAUAGCCACUGCCAUUGUGGAGUUUACGGAGUGCUGGAGAGGGCAGACAUCAGUCAAAUAAGGAAACAAUAUAAUGAGAUUAACUUCUUCAAAGAGUUAGCUACACUCUCUGACUGUACAACUCCACCACUCUCACCAGUGCCAUGAACCGUCUCCUGGUUGCCAAACCCAAGGAGCAGUCUUUUUCGUUUUUCUCCUCCUUGCUGCAUCUGACCCUGUUGACCACUUUCUCCUUAAAACUCUCUCCUGGGGAACCAAGAUGGUGGCGUAAGGUACAGACCUGUGUGUGCUGCCUCCCACAACAACAUUGAAACUACCAACUAUAAGACAAACAGCUAUCAUUCAGAACCAUGGGAAAGCUGGCCCAGUGGAAGCUCUACAACUGAAAGGAAAGAAAGAAGAGCAUUGAGACUGAGUAGGAUGUACAGAGGCACCAAGAACAGAGGUAUGAAGUCGUGCGCCAGGCGGGCUGCAACUGGAUGCGCGGUUUUUUUCAAUCAGAAAGGGUUACAAACUCUCAAAUCCACUGAGCUUGUUUGGGGUGGGAUUCUGAGGUCCCAGACCCCUACGGGGAGAGGCGGGAUGGCCUUGCAGCGGGUCGGAGAGCUAGUGUAGCUUUCUCUCGGAGCUGCUCGCCAGCACUCGGGGAUGUGGAGACACGGAGUCGCGGAGAGGCAAGGAGUGGGGGAGACACCAUUGCUCUUUGCUCCGCCCUGGUGAUUCCCGGAGACCCCGCCCUACUCAAUUUACAUCCCCGCCCAAGCUGUGCCAGAGGCACAAAAGGAACCACAUGCACUUUUACAGCAUAACCCAACAAACUGCAGAUUUCAAUUCCUCACAUCCAUAAGGAACACACUCAAGAAGCAGAAUCAGGUUCGGAGGAAGCCAGAGCCGGACCCGGCUGGGCCAGUGACAUGGAACCGCUGUACCAGCAAACGCACAAGCAGGUCCACCAGAUCCAGUCUCACAUGGGACGCCGGGAGAUGGCAGACAAGCAGUCUGUGCACUUAGUAGAAAACGAAAUCCAAGCAAGCAUACCAGAUAUUCAGCCACCAAGAACGCCUGGAGAUUUUGUCCAGCAAGGAGCCACCCAACAAAAGACAGAAUGCCAAACUUCAUGUUGACCAGUUAAAGUAUGAUGUCCAGCACCUGCAGGCUGCUCUCAGAAACUUCCAGCAUCAGCAAUACACAAGGGAGCAGCAGGAGAGACAGCGAGAGGAGCUUCUGACUCACACCUUCACCCCCAACAUGGGAUGCAGCACCCCCUGCGAGGCUGCUGUGCCGGCCCCUGGGAAGCCAAGAAAAAUACCACAUGAUCUCACUCAUUUAUGGAUAAUAAAGACCAUUAUAAACUGAUGAACAAAAACAGAUA